Molecule: non-coding RNA, 120 nt
Filed under: human gut metagenome
Description: FMN riboswitch (RFN element)
Rfam family: FMN riboswitch aptamer (RFN element)
About the family: The RFN element is a highly conserved domain that is found frequently in the 5'-untranslated regions of prokaryotic mRNAs that encode for flavin mononucleotide (FMN) biosynthesis and transport proteins. This element is a metabolite-dependent riboswitch that directly binds FMN in the absence of proteins. In Bacillus subtilis, the riboswitch most likely controls gene expression by causing premature transcription termination within the 5' untranslated region of the ribDEAHT operon and precluding access to the ribosome-binding site of ypaA mRNA.
Source: RNAcentral
UUCUUCAGGGCAGGGUGAAAUUCCCUACUGGCGGUGAUGUAGUCCGCGACCCAUAUCACAGCGAUAUGGCUGAACCGGUGAGAACCCGGUACCAACAGUAAAGUCUGGAUGAAAGAAGAG